CCUGGUGGCUCAGAGGUUAAAGCAUCUGCCUGGAAUGCAGGAGACCUGGGUUUGAUCCCUGAGUCAGGA
RNAcentral lists this transfer RNA (69 nucleotides) under Ovis aries (sheep). It matches the Rfam family "tRNA". Rfam says of the family: Transfer RNA (tRNA) molecules are approximately 80 nucleotides in length. Their secondary structure includes four short double-helical elements and three loops (D, anti-codon, and T loops). Further hydrogen bonds mediate the characteristic L-shaped molecular structure. tRNAs have two regions of fundamental functional importance: the anti-codon, which is responsible for specific mRNA codon recognition, and the 3' end, to which the tRNAs corresponding amino acid is attached (by aminoacyl-tRNA synthetases). tRNAs cope with the degeneracy of the genetic code in two manners: having more than one tRNA (with a specific anti-codon) for a particular amino acid; and 'wobble' base-pairing, i.e. permitting non-standard base-pairing at the 3rd anti-codon position. The record is from Rfam by way of RNAcentral. Lineage: Eukaryota; Metazoa; Chordata; Mammalia; Artiodactyla; Bovidae.